AUUGAACGCUGGCGGCAUGCCUAACACAUGCAAGUCGAACGGAGGUAGGGGCAACUCUACUUCAGUGGCGGACGGGUGAGGAAUGCGUCGGAAUCUACCCUAUGGUGGGGGAUAACACAGGGAAACUUGUGCUAAUACCGCAUGAUGUCGAGAGACCAAAGCAGGGGACCGCAAGGCCUUGCGCGAUAGGAUGAGCCGACGCCCGAUUAGCUAGUUGGUAGGGUAAUGGCCUACCAAGGCGACGAUCGGUAGCUGGUCUGAGAGGAUGAUCAGCCACACUGGGACUGAGACACGGCCCAGACUCCUACGGGAGGCAGCAGUGGGGAAUAUUGGACAAUGGGCGAAAGCCUGAUCCAGCAAUGCCGCGUGUGUGAAGAAGGCCUGCGGGUUGUAAAGCACUUUUGUUCGGGAAGAAAACGGAUCGGUUAAUACCCGGUUCGGAUGACGGUACCGAAAGAAUAAGCACCGGCUAACUUCGUG
Molecule: ribosomal RNA, 480 nt
Filed under: uncultured bacterium
Lineage: Bacteria
Description: bacterial SSU rRNA
Rfam family: Bacterial small subunit ribosomal RNA
Source: RNAcentral